GGUGGCAGGGCCCAACCAGCGCAGAGAGGUGUGCCCCAGGCAUCUCUGGGCAGGUAUCUCUUUGAGUGCCUCACUCUCAAGCACGACUAGGAGGCCUCUGUGCCUUCC
Molecule: microRNA precursor, 108 nt
Filed under: Rattus norvegicus (Norway rat)
Lineage: Eukaryota; Metazoa; Chordata; Mammalia; Rodentia; Muridae
Description: mir-692 microRNA precursor family
Rfam family: mir-692 microRNA precursor family
Source: Rfam by way of RNAcentral